RNAcentral lists this unclassified non-coding RNA (313 nucleotides) under uncultured Glomus. Its description in RNAcentral is "SSU rRNA". It matches the Rfam family "Eukaryotic small subunit ribosomal RNA", at positions 569 to 888 of the family's 1831-position model. The record is from RNAcentral. Lineage: Eukaryota; Fungi; Glomeromycota; Glomeromycetes; Glomerales; Glomeraceae.
AGCAGCCGCGGUAAUUCCAGCUCCAAUAGCGUAUAUUAAAGUUGUUGCAGUUAAAGAGCUCGUAGUUGAAUUUCGGGAUCAAAUUGUCGGUCGUGCCUCGGUACGAACUGGUAUUAUUGGUUCCUACCUUCUGAAGAACCGCGAUGUCAUUAAUUUGGUGUCGUGGGGAAUCAGGACUGUUACUUUGAAAAAUUAGAGUGUUUAAAGCAGGCUUACGCUUGAAUACAUUAGCAUGGAAUAAUGAAAUAGGACGUUUGAUUCUAUUUUGUUGGUUUCUAGGAUUGACGUAAUGAUUAANAGGGAUAGUUGGGGG